UGGUGUCGAUCGAUACUGACGUGG
RNAcentral lists this non-coding RNA (24 nucleotides) under Arabidopsis thaliana (thale cress). The record is from RNAcentral. Lineage: Eukaryota; Viridiplantae; Streptophyta; Magnoliopsida; Brassicales; Brassicaceae.